AGUGAACGCUGGCGGUAGGCCUAACACAUGCAAGUCGAACGGCAGCACAGUAAGAGCUUGCUCUUACGGGUGGCGAGUGGCGGACGGGUGAGGAAUACAUCGGAAUCUUCUUUUUCUGGGGGGAUAACGGGGGACAAGUGCCGCUAAUACAGCAUAUAACCUACGGGAUAAAUCAGGGGAUCUUGACGCCUUUGCUGUUUGAUAUAGAUGAUGCCGGAUUAGCUAGUUGGCGUGGUAAAGGCCCACCAAGGCGACGAUCCGUAGCUGGUCUGAGAGGAUGAUCAGCCACACUGGAACUGAGACACGGUCCAGACUCCUACGGGAGGCAGCAGUGGGGAAUAUUGGACAAUGGGCGAAAGCCUGAUCCAGCCAUGCCGCGUGGGUGAAGAAGGCCUUCGGGUUGUAAAGCCCUGUUGUUGGGAAAGAAAAGCAGCAGGUUAAUACCUGGCUGUUCUGACGGUACCCAAGGAAUAAGCACCGGCUAACUUCGUG
This 492-nucleotide ribosomal RNA is filed under the name uncultured bacterium. RNAcentral describes it as "partial 16S ribosomal RNA". It matches the Rfam family "Bacterial small subunit ribosomal RNA", at positions 29 to 507 of the family's 1533-position model. The record is from RNAcentral.